Molecule: ribosomal RNA, 585 nt
Filed under: Septoglomus viscosum
Lineage: Eukaryota; Fungi; Glomeromycota; Glomeromycetes; Glomerales; Glomeraceae
Description: eukaryotic LSU rRNA
Rfam family: Eukaryotic large subunit ribosomal RNA
Source: RNAcentral
CAUGGAGGGUGAGAAUCCCGUUCAUGGUUAAUUCUAAGAUGCUUUAUGAUGCGUUUUCGAAGAGUCGAGUUGUUUGGGAUUGCAGCUCAAAAUGGGAGGUAAAUUUCUCCUAAGGCUAAAUAUUGGCGAGAGACCGAUAGCGAACAAGUACCGUGAGGGAAAGAUGAAAAGAACUUUGAAAAGAGAGUUAAACAGUACGUGAAAUUGUUGAAAGGGAAACGAUUGAAGUCAGUCGUACCAGCGGGAAAUCAACCUUUCGAGUGGGGUUUUGGGGUUUUGAAGUGUGUCAAAACCUUUGAGAUUUCAAAAUGUUCGCUCCUUUGGUGUACUUUCUCGUAGGUAGGUUAACAUCGAUCUUGAUCAUCAUAAAAAGAUUGGAGGAAUGUAGCUUCGAUCUCGUAUUGAAGUGUUAUAGCCUUUGGUAUAUGUGAUGAUUAGGAUCGAGGAUUGCAACGAAUACCCUUUUGGGCUAUCCGCCUGAUCUCUGACACGUAGCCUUGGUAUUGAAAGCGUGCUUAUGGUAUUAAGGUAUUACGGUCAAAAGGUUAGAACGGAUUACAUUCGUUAAGGAUGUUGACGUAAUGG